GAGGAAAGAGGGGGGAGGGAAGAAUACAUGCAAGUCGAGCGAACAGACGAGGAGCUUGCUCCUCUGACGUUAGCGGCGGACGGGUGAGUAACACGUGGAUAACCUACCUAUAAGACUGGGAUAACUUCGGGAAACCGGAGCUAAUACCGGAUAAUAUAUUGAACCGCAUGGUUCAAUAGUGAAAGACGGUUUUGCUGUCACUUAUAGAUGGAUUCGCGCCGCAUUAGCUAGUUGGUAAGGUAACGGCUUACCAAGGCGACGAUGCGUAGCCGACCUGAGAGGGUGAUCGGCCACACUGGAACUGAGACACGGUCCAGACUCCUACGGGAGGCAGCAGUAGGGAAUCUUCCGCAAUGGGCGAAAGCUUGACGGAGCAACGCCGCGUGAGUGAUGAAGGUCUUCGGAUCGUAAAACUCUGUUAUUAGGGAAGAACAAAUGUGUAAGUAACUAUGCACGUCUUGACGGUACCUAAUCAGAAAGCCACGGCUAACUACGUG
This 497-nucleotide ribosomal RNA is filed under the name uncultured bacterium. Its description in RNAcentral is "partial 16S ribosomal RNA". It matches the Rfam family "Bacterial small subunit ribosomal RNA", at positions 28 to 507 of the family's 1533-position model. The record is from RNAcentral.